GUGGGGAAUAUUGGACAAUGGGGGGAACCCUGAUCCAGCCAUGCCGCGUGUGUGAAGAAGGCCUUUUGGUUGUAAAGCACUUUAAGCGAGGAGGAGGCUACCGAGAUUAAUACUCUUGGAUAGUGGACGUUACUCGCAGAAUAAGCACCGGCUAACUCUGUGCCAGCAGCCGCGGUAAUACAGAGGGUGCAAGCGUUAAUCGGAUUUACUGGGCGUAAAGCGCGCGUAGGUGGCCAAUUAAGGCAAAUGUGACAUCCCCGAGCUUAACUUGUGAAUUGCAUUCGAUACUGGUUGGCUAGAGUAUGGGAGAGGAUGGUAGAAUUCCAGGUGUAGCGGUGAAAUGCGUAGAGAUCUGGAGGAAUACCGAUGGCGAAGGCAGCCAUCUGGCCUAAUACUGACACUGAGGUGCGAAAGCAUGGGGAGCAAACAGGAUUAGAAACCCUUGUAGUCC
RNAcentral lists this ribosomal RNA (451 nucleotides) under uncultured bacterium. Its description in RNAcentral is "partial 16S ribosomal RNA". It matches the Rfam family "Bacterial small subunit ribosomal RNA", at positions 354 to 796 of the family's 1533-position model. The record is from RNAcentral.